RNAcentral lists this ribosomal RNA (648 nucleotides) under Nepenthes khasiana. RNAcentral's name for it is "eukaryotic LSU rRNA". The stretch from base 211 to 366 matches the Rfam family "5.8S ribosomal RNA". Lineage: Eukaryota; Viridiplantae; Streptophyta; Magnoliopsida; Caryophyllales; Nepenthaceae. The record is from RNAcentral.
GGGGGUGCAGCACCAAUGCGGUGGGCUGUCGUCGACCAUUGACCAAGCCCGCACCUCAUAUCUGCUUCAGGAGCGGCUAUCGGGGUGCCGGGUUAGGCUUGGCACAAGAAUGAACCCCAGCGUGGAUCGCGCCAAGGAACAGUAACAUAGGGUGAGUUGCCUUGCUGCCUGAAGCCUGGUGAGUGAGGUGGUGACCUAUCAUAUCUGAAUGACUCUUGGCAAUGGAUAUCUCAGCUCUUGCAUCGAUGAAGAACGUAGCUAAAUGUGAUACUUGGUGUGAAUUGCAGAAUGCCAUGAACCAUCGAGUCUUUCAACACAAGUUGCGCUCGAAGCCUCUAGGCUGAGGGCACAUCUACUUGGGCAUCAUGUAUAGCAUCAACCCCAACCAAGCCAUUGUGUCUCUGCGUGCUAGGUUGGGGCGGAGAGUGGCCUCGCGUGCGUUGUUAAGCGGUUGCCCUAAAAUUGGAGCUCGACGACUGCGCCACGACAUUCGGUGGUCGACAAGGCGAAGGCCAAGGUUGCAUCACGUCUUGCUCGACACGUCACCCAUGAAGCUCGCAUGAAACGACGUCCGUACGGCACCAAUGCGGCGACCCUAGGUAGCUGGAGAUACUCACUGAGUUCAAGCAUAUCAAUAAGCGGAGGAAA